UACGUAGGCAGCGAGCGUUGUUCGGAGUUACUGGGCGUAAAGGGUGUGUAGGCGGUUUUUUAAGUUUGGGGUGAAAUCUCCCGGCUCAACUGGGAGGGUGCGCCGAAUACUGAAUGACUUCGAGUGCGGGAGAGGAGAGUGGAAUUCCUGGUGUAGCGGUGAAAUGCGUAGAUAUCAGGAGGAACACCGGUGGUGUAGACGGCUCUCUGGACCGUAACUGACGCUGAGACACGAAAGCGUGGGUAGCAAACAGG
This 254-nucleotide ribosomal RNA is filed under the name uncultured bacterium. RNAcentral's name for it is "partial 16S ribosomal RNA". It matches the Rfam family "Bacterial small subunit ribosomal RNA", at positions 524 to 776 of the family's 1533-position model. The record is from RNAcentral.